RNAcentral lists this ribosomal RNA (274 nucleotides) under uncultured bacterium. RNAcentral describes it as "partial 16S ribosomal RNA". It matches the Rfam family "Bacterial small subunit ribosomal RNA", at positions 523 to 796 of the family's 1533-position model. The record is from RNAcentral.
AUACGGAGGGUGCAAGUGUUACUCGGAAUCACUGGGCGUAAAGGACGCGUAGGCGGGUUGGUAAGUCAGGUGUGAAAUCCUACAGCUUAACUGUAGAACUGCACUUGAAACUACCAACCUAGAGUAUGAGAGGGGGAGAUGGAAUUAGUGGUGUAGGGGUAAAAUCCGUAGAUAUCACUAGGAAUACCGAAAGCGAAGGCGAUCUCCUGGAACAUAACUGACGCUAAGGCGUGAAAGCGUGGGGAGCAAACAGGAUUAGAUACCCCAGUAGUCC